RNAcentral lists this transfer RNA (73 nucleotides) under Myxococcales bacterium. Its description in RNAcentral is "tRNA-Lys". It matches the Rfam family "tRNA". Rfam says of the family: Transfer RNA (tRNA) molecules are approximately 80 nucleotides in length. Their secondary structure includes four short double-helical elements and three loops (D, anti-codon, and T loops). The record is from RNAcentral. RNAcentral also lists the same sequence under 1 other name. Lineage: Bacteria; Pseudomonadati; Myxococcota; Myxococcia; Myxococcales.
GGGUCCGUAGCUCGACUGGCAGAGCAAGCGCCUCUUACGCGCGAGGAUGAGGGUUCGACUCCCUCCGGUCCCA